This 74-nucleotide transfer RNA is filed under the name Legionella sp. RNAcentral's name for it is "tRNA-Gly". It matches the Rfam family "tRNA". Rfam says of the family: Transfer RNA (tRNA) molecules are approximately 80 nucleotides in length. Their secondary structure includes four short double-helical elements and three loops (D, anti-codon, and T loops). Lineage: Bacteria; Pseudomonadati; Pseudomonadota; Gammaproteobacteria; Legionellales; Legionellaceae. RNAcentral also lists the same sequence under 9 other names. The record is from RNAcentral.
GCGGGCGUAGUUCAAUGGUAGAACUUCAGCCUUCCAAGCUGAUAGCGUGGGUUCGAUUCCCAUCGCCCGCUCCA